Molecule: ribosomal RNA, 491 nt
Filed under: uncultured bacterium
Lineage: Bacteria
Description: partial 16S ribosomal RNA
Rfam family: Bacterial small subunit ribosomal RNA
Source: RNAcentral
AGUGAACGCUGGCGGUAGGCCUAACACAUGCAAGUCGAACGGCAGCACAGUAAGAGCUUGCUCUUACGGGUGGCGAGUGGCGGACGGGUGAGGAAUACAUCGGAAUCUACUUUUUCGUGGGGGAUAACGUAGGGAAACUUACGCUAAUACCGCAUACGACCUACGGGUGAAAGCAGGGGAUCUUCGGACCUUGCGCGAUUGAAUGAGCCGAUGUCGGAUUAGCUAGUUGGCGGGGUAAAGGCCCACCAAGGCGACGAUCCGUAGCUGGUCUGAGAGGAUGAUCAGCCACACUGGAACUGAGACACGGUCCAGACUCCUACGGGAGGCAGCAGUGGGGAAUAUUGGACAAUGGGCGCAAGCCUGAUCCAGCCAUACCGCGUGGGUGAAGAAGGCCUUCGGGUUGUAAAGCCCUUUUGUUGGGAAAGAAAAGCAGCAGGUUAAUACCCCGCUGUUCUGACGGUACCCAAAGAAUAAGCACCGGCUAACUACGU